Molecule: non-coding RNA, 1245 nt
Organism: Cinara cedri
Lineage: Eukaryota; Metazoa; Arthropoda; Insecta; Hemiptera; Aphididae
Source: the annotation of a GenBank genome assembly
GGCCUAUAAUCUGUAAAUUAAUUAUUACAGGAAGUAUGCAUGCAAAAAUAUAUAAAAUACCUUGUCAUAGAUACAUGAUAAAAGUAGCCACCCAAUGGUGUCUACAUCACUUUCUCUUUAAUCGACCAGGGGGAUUAUCAGGAUUUGAGUCAGUAUCUAGAGCACAGAUUAGUGGAUUGGAGUGGUUUUUUAAUCGAGAACGGAAACGUUUAUAAAGGAUUUUGGCAGUUUCAUCUACUGUAUUAAUUCUUGGAUCUGUAUGAAGGGUGAUUAGAUACAUAAAAAGGGCAUUAGUGAUUAUGCGGAGGGUUGUGGAUUGGGAAGUUUGAAUUUUAUGUGUUUGAUUUUUUGCGGUGCCUUAUAACUGUAUCCAAAUGAGAAUUAAUAAAGUUUUAUAUAGAAGUAAUUUUGUUUUUGUAACAAGUUUAGAGUAUUUACCAAGUAAGAAUUGUAGUGAUUUACAUCUAGAGUUAAGGAGGAUUUUUUUCUUUCUUAUUUGGUUUGCCCAGGUUAAUAGUUGAUCUAGAAACAAACCCAAAUAACUUGACCUCGAGGAUUUUUGAAAAUUUUGGUUGUUUAAAUUUAUAGGUGGUACAGUUCCACGUUUCAAUGUAAAACUUAGAUGGAAAGAUUUUACAUGAUUUAUUAUAAUUUUCUACUUGUCCUACCAGGGAGACAUGAGGUUUAGGUGUUUUUUUGUAGAUUCAUGCCAGCAAAAUUGGAUCUUUGUGUAUAGAGUAUAGCUGUCAGUAUAUGGAAAACAAACAUUUAAUUAUAAAAAAAUCAUAAGAACUUUUUUUAAAUAAUUACUCUUUAAUUAGUUAUAUUAUGAGAAAGGGAAUAGUUAAAAAUUGUGUAGAAUUAAGUAAAAUAUAUGAUUCACAUUGACUUUUUAAAUUUAUGUAAGCUAUUCAUUUGUGUUAAUUAUUUAGAACUUUCCAUUGAAAAUUGUUUAGGGCUUCACCAGUUAUGACUAUAGACAUAAUUUCUUAUUUUAUAUAAUGUACAAUAUUAUUAUUAUUUAUAUGUUAAUUCUUUUUUCUUCUGAUCAUUUUGAUUUAGAUGUUUUAUACAUAGGCUUUCCAAAAAACAUCCAACAAAAAUUAUAAGGACGCAUUAGGAGCCUGGUUAAGACAGGCUAAUAAGCGCGUACCAAAUAAAAUUUUAUCAGAACAAGACAUUGCAUUUGUCUUUUAAAAGUGAUUUUUUUUUUUCAUUAUUUAGAUAUGUAAUUGUUUAAACAGC